Long non-coding RNA from Pimephales promelas (fathead minnow), 682 nucleotides. RefSeq lists it as uncharacterized. The record is from RefSeq and is a predicted model, not a curated record. Lineage: Eukaryota; Metazoa; Chordata; Actinopteri; Cypriniformes; Leuciscidae.
GAAGCCACUGAGCCCCUAACAAUAUGACAAUCAGUUUGCCGCAGUAAGAACCUUUCUUUUACGAUCUAUGGUUAGAACACAGCAUGAAGUUACAAACUCGUGUACAGUAGGUGGCGGUAUGCACCUAAAAGUUGGUUGCAAUCCGACAAUAAUCAAGAGAAGAAGAAGAUUGCCGAAGUGGAAGUUACUCAGCCCGAAGUUUGCUUGCUAGCAAAGUCAUCGACUACCGUCGUAUAACAAGCUUUAUGGAAAAGAACAUGUGACAUACAACAUGCCUGGAUUGGUUUGGUGCACCUCCUCAGACAAGAUGCCAAAAAGUAUGGUGUCCUUGAUAACAUAUCAUGCUUCCCAUUUGAAAACUUCCUUGGCAUGGGUGUCUUAAUAAACAAUAGAGAGUCAUCGCUCAGUUAUUGGCCCUUGGACUCCCCCGGCACCUCUUGUACAGCAUGAAGUUUUCUGCUAUGAAGAUUUACAGAGACUCCAGAAUGAAAAACAAACCCUAAGGGAAAGCAAUGCACCAGCAGAUGACAGCGGCUCACUUCAAGAGCAGGUGAAGCAAAAUGGGAUAAUGUUGAUCAGGUCCUGAUCAGGUCGAGAGAUGUCGUUCAGACCACACAACUUUGGGAUUUUGUUUGCGAAUGUUUGUUAGAAGGAUGGUUUCCGGAAACACCGACUCAUUGAA